UCUCUCCGCCUCAGCUCGCCGGGCUGACAGGUGUUGUGGCUCAGCGGUCUGGUCUGACAGCUCAAUGCCUGUUUAUCUACAUACAUGGAGCUGUCACCUGGCCAGCUCCAGCGCCGUAGUCAAGCAGAGCCUUUUAAAAUGAGUCCAGGGCUGGCUGUGUUUUGGCAUCCUUAAGAAACUUAAUGAAUGGGUCUGCAGGGAUUCCUAUGGGCUGCUUUCUACACACUAAAGUUGUCUAAGAGAAUUUUCCUGUCAGCAAAAUGACCAGAGAAGAGGUUGGACACAAUUAGUUUACUGGUGGGUAAAGGAAGUCACAGGUGUUGUUGGUUUAAUAAAGUUCUGUAGAGCUCAGAGCAAAUUGAUAGUUUUGUGCCUUUAACUUUGCAGGCUGCUGGCUGAAAACCACUGAAAUGUAUUUGUUUCCUCAUAAAAUGAAAUGAUGGUGUCCCCAUGGUUCUGAAGGCAAACAGUGCUGACGUGUGUUGUUUGAGAGCAAAAAUUUCUGAUGUGACACUUUCCCCUCUGACCCUGUGUUUGUGCAGUAAUGGAAUAUCAGGUGCAGAUCAACAGUAUCAAGGCCAAGCUUCAAGAGACUCGUGCUCGAAAGAAACAGCAGGAGGAGCUCAUCAUGAAAGUGGAAAACCAGGCCCUCAAAAACCGUUUCCAGGCCUUAUUGGAUGAGAUUAUUCAGCAGGAAGAGCGAGAGAUGGAACAACUGGCCUCGCUGCAGGAGCAGCUGGACUCUCUGAUCGAGAAGUGACCAACAGGUGGCAGCCUUAUGCCUUGUUCCCUCUCACAGUGGAAGACAGAAGAGACAGUCUGUCUGAAGAAUCACUAUUCUGUGUUUGUGUUGUACUGAAAUUGUAUCAUAGGGUUGUGUUUUCCCCUUAAUCUUUUUUUUUUUUUUUAUCAUUCUCUGCUGUUAGUUAUUUACAAUGAAUAAAAAACAUUUGUCCAUC
Boleophthalmus pectinirostris (great blue-spotted mudskipper) is the source of this 959-nucleotide long non-coding RNA. RefSeq lists it as uncharacterized. Lineage: Eukaryota; Metazoa; Chordata; Actinopteri; Gobiiformes; Gobiidae. The record is from RefSeq and is a predicted model, not a curated record. The transcript is spliced from 3 exons.